CGUGUAGGCGGCUCGGCAAGUCGGGUGUGAAAGCCCUGGGCUCAACCCAGGAAGUGCAUUCGAAACUGCCGAGCUGGAGUCCCGGAGAGGAAGGCGGAAUUCUCGGUGUAGAGGUGAAAUUCGUAGAUAUCGAGAGGAACACCGGUGGCGAAGGCGGCCUUCUGGACGGCGACUGACGCUGAGACGCGAAAGCGUGGGGAGCAAACAGGAUUAGAUACCCUGGUAGUCCACGCCGUAAACGAUGGGUGCUAGGUGUCGCGGGCAUUGACCCCUGCGGUGCCGAAGCCAACGCAUUAAGCACCCCGCCUGGGGAGUACGGCCGCAAGGCUAAA
This 332-nucleotide ribosomal RNA is filed under the name uncultured Chondromyces sp. RNAcentral describes it as "bacterial SSU rRNA". It matches the Rfam family "Bacterial small subunit ribosomal RNA", at positions 568 to 898 of the family's 1533-position model. Lineage: Bacteria; Pseudomonadati; Myxococcota; Polyangiales; Polyangiaceae. The record is from RNAcentral.